ACAAGUCCAUUUUUCUCUCUGUUGAGUGAUUUCAUGAGAUGACCUUGUGCGGGGUCUUCUCCUCUGCGGGUCCUGCCAACUUUCUUGUUGAGUUCGGUGGGUUCCGGGCUGAGGUAGUAGGUUGUAUAGUUGAGGAUAACACCACAGGAGAUAACUGUACAGCCUCCUAUCUUUCCCCGGGGCUUGGCCAUGACGACGAAGCUGAAAUCCAAGAAGUGGUGAACAAUUGACAAAAACCUGGAGUAACCUGGAGCAAAAGAAUAAGCGCACGUCCGUGUAAAAAGGAAAGGUGCGAAUAUUGGAUGAUGGAGGUCAAAAAAACAGACAUUGUCAGCUGAAGUCGAAGGUUAAUGUUAUUGGCCUUACAGUCAAACAUCAAAGAAGGCCGUAGAUAGUACUGUUGGGUUUAUAAGGAUAUAAAUGGGCAUCGACGAGGGGUGGAAGAAUGUAGUCAGGAAAGGGGCAGAGAGGAAAACCUGGGUUUUAUUCACCAAUUCUCUGUUAGGAAAUCAAAAGUCAAAUGCAGAUCCAAGUUGCCCAUCAGAGCAUCUCGAGACACAUAUUCUUACGGCAAGUGAACAGGAUGUACAGCAAAGCCGCAGGGCAAUUACCGUGGGUAAAGCCAGCCAAUGUGCUGUGGAAAUAGAUCAGUAAGUUACUUCAAUGAUGAGGACAAUUCAACCAAAAUGAACCAGUUUCACCCAUUCCAAGCCAUGGGCGAGUAUGUGGCAGGCUGGGCUAGAGGUAGCCAUUUUUUUGCAUCCUGCAAGGACUGGGAUACUUCAUAUAGAGUCAGUUGGUAACAAAUGUUUCUAUUCCCACUUUAAUGUCUGCUCUGAUAGGCAGCAGGAGGCUAAAUGAUGUUUCAGGUACCCCGCUGAACACGCACGGUUACAUUAUUACUCCUUGGUCUUUUGGCGCCCUCUGCUGAUCCUAGGCUUGAUGUGCGCUAACUCACACCCUAACCCAUUACUAGUCUUCUAGUGCCCCUUGCUGUGUCAGAGCUCAGUAUACUUAGUGCUAUUAGCAGACUUUCCCAACAGCGCCACCCACUGGUCAUAUAUGAGUAAUACACAGAGCACACACACGGAUUUUAGGUCUUAUGUCACCCCCUGGUGGCUGAUAUAGUGUAAAGCAGCUAAAUUUAUCACUGCCUCUCGAUGAACUGAACCAGAGACAGACAGAAAUUUCCAUAUAUACAACUCCAGCAUUAUGCAGACAUAUGCAUCGAAUAGGAUGAAUCCAGAAUCUAGACAGUAUAAAAAUAUCUAAUGUUAAAAUAAAAUCGGACACCAAAGAGCACUCUGACACCGUCAUACAGCGUUAUGUAUCCGCAUAAAGCCGCCCAAAUUUAUUCAGGCACGUACCCGUCUAGACACAGGGUGGGAAAUAUAUGGAUAGCUUUAUAGACGAAAACGCUAGACAUGGAUUAAGUUGCCGGUGCGAAACUAUCAAAUGGGAAGGAUGCACGGCACGUUUACAAACAGGCGUAAUAAAAUAACACGGGAUAAAAAAAA
This is a long non-coding RNA of Spea bombifrons (plains spadefoot toad), 1517 nucleotides long. RefSeq lists it as uncharacterized. The transcript is spliced from 2 exons. NCBI's taxonomy places the organism in Eukaryota, Metazoa, Chordata, Amphibia, Anura, Pelobatidae. The record is from RefSeq and is a predicted model, not a curated record.